RNAcentral lists this ribosomal RNA (800 nucleotides) under uncultured bacterium. RNAcentral's name for it is "bacterial SSU rRNA". It matches the Rfam family "Bacterial small subunit ribosomal RNA", at positions 28 to 811 of the family's 1533-position model. The record is from RNAcentral.
GACGAACGCUGGCGGCGUGCCUAAUACAUGCAAGUAGAACGCUGAAGAGAGGAGCUUGCUCUUCUUGGAUGAGUUGCGAACGGGUGAGUAACGCGUAGGUAACCUGCCUUGUAGCGGGGGAUAACUAUUGGAAACGAUAGCUAAUACCGCAUAACAAUGGAUGACACAUGUCAUUUAUUUGAAAGGGGCAAUUGCUCCACUACAAGAUGGACCUGCGUUGUAUUAGCUAGUAGGUGAGGUAAUGGCUCACCUAGGCGACGAUACAUAGCCGACCUGAGAGGGUGAUCGGCCACACUGGGACUGAGACACGGCCCAGACUCCUACGGGAGGCAGCAGUAGGGAAUCUUCGGCAAUGGGGGCAACCCUGACCGAGCAACGCCGCGUGAGUGAAGAAGGUUUUCGGAUCGUAAAGCUCUGUUGUAAGUCAAGAACGGGUGUGAGAGUGGAAAGUUCACACUGUGACGGUAGCUUACCAGAAAGGGACGGCUAACUACGUGCCAGCAGCCGCGGUAAUACGUAGGUCCCGAGCGUUGUCCGGAUUUAUUGGGCGUAAAGCGAGCGCAGGCGGUUUGAUAAGUCUGAAGUUAAAGGCUGUGGCUCAACCGUAGUUCGCUUUGGAAACUGUCAAACUUGAGUGCAGAAGGGGAGAGUGGAAUUCCAUGUGUAGCGGUGAAAUGCGUAGAUAUAUGGAGGAACACCGGUGGCGAAAGCGGCUCUCUGGUCUGUAACUGACGCUGAGGCUCGAAAGCGUGGGGAGCGAACAGGAUUAGAUACCCUGGUAGUCCACGCCGUAAACGAUG